CUUCGGCGACCGGGCGGCGGCAGCGGCAGUGACUGGGGCUGAGGCGCCCACAGGGGCAGUAGCUACACUUGGGGAGCUGCCGUGGGGUCGGUGGCCGCUCGCAGCGCGGCGGAGGGGCGGGUCCGACGAGGAGCGGACAGCUGCGCCACGGGUGGCAUUGUGUGUCCAGGUGCUGUGCUGUGCCCGAGUAGUACCAGAAGAGAGCGAGGCUGAACCCAGAGCGCUGGGUUGCUUCAGCUGGGAAGACUUCCUUCCCCCCUGCUCCAGGCUGCUGAGCACUGAGCAGCGCUCAGAAUGGAAGCCAUCGCCAAAUAUGACUUCAAAGCUACUGCAGACGAUGAGCUGAGCUUCAAAAGGGGGGACAUCCUUAAGGUUUUAAAUGAAGAAUGUGAUCAGAACUGGUACAAGGCAGAGCUCAAUGGGAAGGACGGCUUCAUUCCCAAGAACUACAUAGAAAUGAAACCACAUCCGUAAGUUGUGCUCCACUGGUCUCCCAAGUAGGGGACCCACCGGCCUGUUCCAAAUAGUUUUUAAAAUUGAGACUGCUGGAAUGGAUAUCAUACUGUUCAUUCUGCCUUCCCAGGGAAUUAACCCAAUACAAUGAUUUUGCAUGUUUAAUAGUAGCAUGUAAUGAUAAUAUAAUAGUAGUGGUAUACUUUUUUUUUUGGCAGUACGGGGGACUGAAUUCAGACCCUCACGGUUGGUUCUACCUCUUGCGAUAUAACCACAGUAAUGGUAUACAUUUUACACUUGAUCCAAGAGCAGUAAUAAUGCUAUAUAGUUUUUUUUAAUUUUUUUAUUUUUGGCAGUGGUGGAGUUUGAACUUGCUAGGCAGGCACUCUACCACUUGAGCCACUUUGCCAGCCCUUUUUUGUGGUGGGUAUUUUUGAACUAGGGUCUCGUGAACAAUUUUCCCAGCUGACUUGCAAUGAAAUCCUCCUGAACUCUGCCUCUUGAGUAGCUAGGAUUACAGGCGUGAGCCACCCAUGCCUGACUGGUAUACAUUUUAGAUUAAUAGCCGUCAAUGAUCAUCAAAAACAGUACUUCAGCAAGGAGGGACCUACAGAGUCAUGUAAUUUGUUCUUCUUUAUCCUACAAAUUAGGAAAGUUUAUCCUACAAUUUAGAAAUGUUUUUAUUCAGUACAGUAAUUGGCGAUUAUAGCUCUCAUUGUGAAAGUGCAAAAAACUGUGGAGCAAUACAUAAGCUUGCCCCACACAUGUAGUCCUUGCAGAGGUCACAACUGGUAGCAACUAAAUGUAGGUCAGAAACUACUUAGGAACCAAAUUCUGAGCCUGUUCCAAGAAGAUAAUUUGUCUUCUGUGAAAUGAAACAAAUGAUUCAGGAGCCUCCCAUAAAACUAUCAGUUGAGUUCAUGCCCUGGCAGUAAAGUCUUAGAAAGCGUUUAUUAUAUGGCAGAGCUAUGCGAGGUGUCGGGACAUUGUGUCCACACUUAACUUAUGGUAUAUAUAAUAAAGUCCCCACAUCACUCCAGGGGUGCAUUUGAGAUCACAUCCAGGAAGUAUUAACCUGGAGAUGGAAGGUUGAGCUAGCCUGCAGGGGGAUAGAGAGAUGUUGAUUUGGGGGUGGAGGGGAGGGCGUUGAGAGGUCCUCAAGGGAACUUCUUUUUACUUUGAGAGCCAGGCAUUUCAUAAUGCUCCUAGAUAAAUGUAGCAUGGUGUGAUUUAAAAGGUAAAGACUGAUCUCAUUUGUAUAGUUUUCUUGUUUUUGUUUAGAACUUGUACUACCUUGUCUCUUCAUCAGCAUGAGUUUGAUCCCCCUGCCCCCCAAAAAUUUUAAGUUCCUUGGGAAACUUAUGUCCUCUCAUUCUGUCUUCCACUGUAAUUUGCAGCUUGCUUUUACGUAUAAUGGCUCAGUAACAUUUAGUUGAUACUUGGACUGAAUUUUUUUUUUUUU
Non-coding RNA from Castor canadensis (American beaver), 1915 nucleotides. NCBI's taxonomy places the organism in Eukaryota, Metazoa, Chordata, Mammalia, Rodentia, Castoridae. The record is from RefSeq and is a predicted model, not a curated record.